Molecule: long non-coding RNA, 2341 nt
Organism: Helianthus annuus (common sunflower)
Lineage: Eukaryota; Viridiplantae; Streptophyta; Magnoliopsida; Asterales; Asteraceae
Exons: 12
Source: RefSeq, a predicted model, not a curated record
AAUUACAUUUCCUUCAAUCUCCUUUCUUUGAGAUUUCUUUUCAAAACGUAUUCAUUCAAUGUCAUUGAAUACACCAAAACCUUUCACCGCCUUCUCUCUUCAAUUAUUACGAAUACCUAAAUUUUUCCAUAUUUCAAUGGAUUUUCUCAUUCAAGCUACAUAUAUAGAUUUCACUUCUGCAUCUUCUAAAUCUGCGUCGUCCUUUUCUUCAAUCUAUAUCGGAUUUUCUUUGUUCAUCCAUCUCGAAAUCUAGUUGAGAUUUGUAGUGCGAAUGGCAUCGGUAUCCAGUCAGCCUUAGUUUUGGUACACAGACUCCAUCGAAGGCUCUUAAACUGAGGAACUUGCCUAGGGAGUGUAUUGAAGAAGAAUUAAUUGAACUUGGGAAGUUGUUUAUUAAAGUUAUGAACAUACAUGUAAUGUUGGAGCGAACAGAAUUCAAGCCUUUAUUGAUUUAUCUUUUUAUCAACGAUUUGGCAAUUCUUCUUUUGAUCAACACUAUGUAAGGUGUAGUACAAGAUGGGCCCGAUGGAACAUUGGCAAAGAUAGGCAUCUUGAUCACCGAAAGAGGCUUAUAAUUGCAAUGGAUGUGGCAUUUGGAAUGGAGUAUUUGCACUCCAAGAACAUUGUGCAUUUUGAUUUGAAAUGUGACAAUCUUCUUGUGAAUAUGAAGGAUUCUUCACACCCUAUAUGCAAGGUAGGUGACUUUGGACUAUCAAAAAUCAAGAGGAACACUUAGGUUUCAGGUGGAGUUAGGGGAACCCUGCUGUGGAUGGCUCCCGAGCUACUGAAUGGGAGAUUCUUACUUGUGAAGAGCCGUACGCCAUCCUGCACUAUUCGUAAAUGCCGGUGCGAUUGUUCAAGGUUUAGUUGAGUCAAGUGCUUGGGUUUUCUUGUGGCCAUUUUCUCCAUAAAUGUGGGUCGUCACCACGGUUUUCUUCGUCAUAAUUGGAAUUGUGAUACGAAUACAGGAACACACGUGGAAUGAAGAAUCUAGGGGUCCACCAUAGCAACAUGAGGUCCCUAUCUUCUUCUGAAACAUGCAAUAAUCUUGGAGUCCGAGACAAGACAACCUUGAUAAAGCCUUAGAGUGUUAUCAGUGGUCUUUGUCAACUAAACCCAAUUUCUCUCAAUCGUUAAACAACUUUGGUGUAGUCUACAUAGUGCAGGUACAAUUACAUCUAUCAGUAUCUAAUAAAGCAAUAUGAUUCAUCUAUUACUAGAUUGCAAUUUAAAUAAAUAUACAAGGUAAAAAGGAUGUUACUGGUAGAUAGAUAGAGAAAGCAAUUGUGGUAGAAACCCACUUAUGCAAAAGCUUACAAUAAUUUAGGUUUGUUUCAACAUAAGUAUACACUAAAAUCAUCAACUAUUUAGACUGCACUGGGGGAGACCUUUUAAAUUUGGCUCAAUUGAAAUAAUAACCUAUUGGUUCUGUAGGUCCGCUUUGUUUAUGUUAUAUACAAAAUGCAACUGGUGAACAGUACCAGCUCGAAUGAGUGCUAUAUAGGAUACAUAUAUACUAUAUUAAAGAAUCCAACCAAAGAAUGGAUUUUGUCCACUGGUAGCGCGUCUUUUAUAUUCUUGAUAACGAAAAAAAUAUGUAAGUAAGCUUUGAUGUUUAAGUAUCUUUUUAAGUUCAAGACUUUUAACUGUAUUAUAAGUAUGCUUUAUAUAUCGCUUCAUGUUCAUCAACUCACCUUUAUUGGUAUGAUGAUGGGGUUAGACUAAAUGCUUAAGAAUGCUCCAAUGUUCAAAUGUUUAGAAGCUUGAAUUAAGGUUGAGCACUUGGUGUUGGUCGGGGCCACGCUAUUGAUAUGCGAGCUCGGAAUUCCGACGUUUAGAAGACUUUUGCAGCACUUAACAGCAACAUGGCCUAGGUAUAUUCAAGCAUUGAUGGGCAAAGCAAAAGCGCAUGAGCGAGAACCUUAGAUAAUAUUUAUCUUUUCAUUAAAGAGGGCGGCUAGAGGGUCCAUUAGAAAUCAAAUUGAUGUGCUGUCUGUUUAAACUAAAGCUCUUCUUGAUCCGCUCAAUGGUUUGCCCAAGUAAGAAGAAAUUUUAUAUUUAAUAUGUUAACUAAAGGGAAUUUUCUGGGUACGGAUUGACACCCAUAUUUAGUAUCACUACAAGAAAUACUACUUUUAGCAGCGACAUCUAAAAAGUCGCCGCUAAAGGUCUUGAUCCUUGACACCCACAUUUAACAUCAUCUGGGCCGUUGAUUGAUGUUAGAUCAAAUGGACAGGGAAUAAAACAACAAUAGACUCUCCUCUUUCAUUUAACAUCAUCUGGGCCAUUGAUUCAUGUACCCAAACAUGUUUUAACAUAAUAAGUUGUUUUUCUUUCCGAA